RNAcentral lists this ribosomal RNA (896 nucleotides) under uncultured bacterium. RNAcentral's name for it is "bacterial SSU rRNA". It matches the Rfam family "Bacterial small subunit ribosomal RNA", at positions 29 to 916 of the family's 1533-position model. RNAcentral also lists the same sequence under 1 other name. The record is from RNAcentral.
AUGAACGCUAGCUACAGGCUUAACACAUGCAAGUCGAGGGGAAACGACAUCGAAAGCUUGCUUUUGAUGGGCGUCGACCGGCGCACGGGUGAGUAACGCGUAUCCAACCUGCCCAUCACUUGGGAAUAACCUUGCGAAAGUAAGACUAAUACCCAAUGACAUCCCACGAAGGCAUCCGAAUGGGAUUAAAGAUUUAUCGGUGAUGGAUGGGGAUGCGUCUGAUUAGCUUGUUGGCGGGGUAACGGCCCACCAAGGCAACGAUCAGUAGGGGUUCUGAGAGGAAGGUCCCCCACAUUGGAACUGAGACACGGUCCAAACUCCUACGGGAGGCAGCAGUGAGGAAUAUUGGUCAAUGGGCGAGAGCCUGAACCAGCCAAGUAGCGUGCAGGAAGACGGCCCUAUGGGUUGUAAACUGCUUUUAUAAGGGAAUAAAGUGAGUCUCGUGAGACUUUUUGCAUGUACCUUAUGAAUAAGGACCGGCUAAUUCCGUGCCAGCAGCCGCGGUAAUACGGAAGGUCCGGGCGUUAUCCGGAUUUAUUGGGUUUAAAGGGAGCGUAGGCCGGAGAUUAAGCGUGUUGUGAAAUGUAGUGGCUCAACCUCUGCACUGCAGCGCGAACUGGUCUUCUUGAGUACGCACAACGUGGGCGGAAUUCGUGGUGUAGCGGUGAAAUGCUUAGAUAUCACGAAGAACUCCGAUUGCGAAGGCAGCUCACGGGAGCGCAACUGACGCUGAAGCUCGAAAGUGCGGGUAUCGAACAGGAUUAGAUACCUGGUAGUCCGCACGGUAAACGAUGGAUGCCCGCUGUUGGCCUGAAUAGGUCAGCGGCCAAGCGAAAGCAUUAAGCAUCCCACCUGGGGAGUACGCCGGCAACGGUGCAACUCAAAGGAAUUGACGG